RNAcentral lists this ribosomal RNA (378 nucleotides) under Triticum aestivum (bread wheat). RNAcentral describes it as "partial small subunit ribosomal RNA". Lineage: Eukaryota; Viridiplantae; Streptophyta; Magnoliopsida; Poales; Poaceae. The record is from RNAcentral.
AUGGAUGGACUUGCUCCAAUGAACAUAAUAACGGAUCAAGACUUUAGCAUUGGUGGAGGCAUCAAGGAAGUAUUUCCCCUUGCAGUGCAUAGGCACUGCAUGUGGCAUAUUAUAAGGAAGGCAGAAGAGACUCUGAGACCGUUCUUUGCUGACCGUCAAGAUCUACAUAAGGCAUUCGAGUUGUGUGUGGACUACAACUUGACAGUGGAAGAGUUUGAAUGGAGCUGGAUGUCCAUGAUUAAAAAAUACCAAGUUCAAGACAACGAAACCCUUCAAAGCCAGUGGGAGAAGCGGAAGUACUGGGUGCCAUCCUUCUUUAUGCACUGCUUCUAUUUCUACAAACUAAGCAACACAUUGAAGGUUUCAAUGCUGUUUUGA